UGAGUACGAGACGCUAAGGCGUCGAAGUAGUGGAUGUCAUACUUCCAAGAAAAGCUUGCACUGUCAUAAAUAAAAGACGCCUGUACCAUAACCGACACAGGUGGGUAGGUAGAGUAUACUAAGGGGCGCGAGAUAACUCUCUCUAAGGAACUCGGCAAAAUGACUCCGUAACUUCGGGAGAAGGAGUGCCUUAUUCGUAAGGCUGCAAUAACAAGAUCCAAGCAACUGUUUAUCAAAAACACAGGUCUCCGCUAAGUCGUAAGACGAUGUAUGGGGGCUGACGCCUGCCCAGUGCCAGAAGGUUAAAGAAGUCGGUUAGCAUUAGCGAAGCUGGUAACUGAAGCCCUGGUGAACGGCGGCCGUAACUAUAACGGUCCUAAGGUAGCGAAAUUCCUUGUCGGGUAAGUUCCGACCCGCACGAAAGGCGUAAUGAUUUGGAUACUGUCUCGGAGAGGGGCUCGGUGAAAUAGACUUGUCUGUGAAGAUGCGGACUACCUGCACCAGGACAGAAAGACCCUAUGAAGCUUUACUGUAACUUGAAAUUGAAAUUGGACUUUAUUCGCGCAGUAUAGGUGGGAGGUGUUGAUUAUAAUCUUGCGGGAUUAUUGGAGCCAUCAGUGAGAUACCACUCUUGUAAUGUUAGAUUUCUAACUUUGAAUCAUUAUCUGGUCAAAGAACAGUUUCAGGCGGGCAGUUUGACUGGGGCGGUCGCCUCCUAAAUGGUAACGGAGGCGUACAAAGGUUUCCUCUGAACGGGUAGAAAUCGUAUCUAGAGUGUAAAGGCAUAAGGAAGCUUGACUGUGAGACCUACAAGUCGAGCAGGGACGAAAGUCGGUCUUAGUGAUCUGACGGUACUGAGUGGAAAGGCCGUCACUCAACGGAUAAAAGUUACUCUAGGAUAACAGGCUGAUCUCCCCCAAGAGUUCACAUCGACGGGGAGGUUUGGCACCUCGAUGUCGGCUCAUCGCAUCCUGGGGCGGUAGUACGUCCCAAGGGUUGGGCUGUUCGCCCAUGAAAGCGGUACGCGAGCUGGGUUCAGAACGUCGUGAGACAGUUCGGUCCAUAUCCGGUGUAGGCGUUAGAAUAUUGAGAGGAGCCUUCUUUAGUACGAGAGGACCGAGAAGGACAUACCUCUGGUGUACCAGUUAUCGUGCCAACGGUAAACGCUGGGUAGCUAUGUAUGGAGUGGAUAACCGCUGAAAGCAUCUAAGUGGGAAGCCCACCUCAAGAUAAGUAUUCUCAUC
Molecule: ribosomal RNA, 1244 nt
Filed under: metagenome
Description: bacterial LSU rRNA
Rfam family: Bacterial large subunit ribosomal RNA
Source: RNAcentral